CUGGGGCAUGUGAAGGGCCUGAAAAGUGAUGCAGAGGUUGCUCUCUCUCUGUUGGACAGGUCCCCUUCAGAUCUGUGGAUGACAAAAAUGUGGAUCCAUGCUGGCACGUGAGCUCCUCAGGUGGACAUCAAAGAUAAAUUCCCCUAACUAGAGAGCACUUCAGCAUAGCAUGUGGGCUGAGGAUCAAAGUGGGCCUGCACUUUGUCAUCCUUAAGCCCCCCCACCUACCCCCACCCCCUCUACCCCUCAGCCUGAGCAUGGUACAGUGAGACCACACACAAACACACGGUGCACAGUGCAGAAUGUGUGCCAGCUCUAACCCCACAUGGGAGGGUCACGGCGCGGCUCACGCUAGCGUGAACAGGGGUCUGAGUAUCUGAUCCCCCCUCCAUGCUUGUGUGAUCUGACAAAGUGAACAAUGACCUUGGACAGUUCAAAAAUAAACCGCGGAGUGUAUCAGUGCUUUUAGAGCCCGCAGCCACCCCGGUGCUGUCGGAUGCCAAGAGAGAAAAAGAGCCGUUUUGUUAGUCAUCAGCUUCACACCAGGGCAGGGAAUCAAUCUACCUCCCUCUGUGUACAAGAAUAUGAGAAAGUUGAAUUAUGUCUCUCUCGCUGUCUGUUUGUGUGUGUGUAUGUGUGUGUGUGCACUUAUCACUCACACACACACACACACACACACACACACACACACACACACACACACACACACACAGUGCGCACCUAUUUUUUAAAGCAUAUGCAGUAUAAAGCUGUUGACAUGGUGGGUGUAUUUGCAAGAAUGUAUAUAUUUAGGCCUAUCGCCAGAGGGUGGAGAUAAUAUGCUGUUAUUACAGUAAUUUGGUGUAUCUGUAUUUUGCUAUUUGGCCUGAGAGUUUUUCACAUUGCAAUAUUUCCUUUGCAUACAUUUAUUGAUUACAUAUUUAGUUAUCACAUUGCAACACAAAUGAUUGGAGUAGGAACGUGUGCGGGGUAAUUAGAAUUUUGUCAUGUUUUGACAAGACCUACACUUAAAAAUGUACAACCAUUUAAAACCACCCAUAACUGCUUAAUCACAGUUUAGCUUUAAUUUACCAGCUCUAGGGUUCACUUCAAAGUGCAGUCACCCCCCUAACCCAAUAGAUACCAGCUACGUUAAUAUAUAUGAUUUUUGUCAUCAACAAUAAUUCAUUAUUCGCUAAGAAAUUAAUGAAAAUGUCAAAAACCACCCUAUCUUGCAAUGUUAAAGACAUUGAAAAGUAAAAUCCUGGGUCACCAUCAAAAAUGAAUGGGGUCUUUUCCCAAUCAAACUGACCAACAAAUCAACCAGCCAACCAGCCAACAAACAUGACACAGGUGAACACCUAACCUACUUAGCGGAGGUUAAAAAAAUAACAUUCAGUGAUAUCAGCAUAGGUAUAUAUACACUGAUCAGCCAUGACAUUACAUCUGCUUAUAGGUGAUGUGAAUGAGACUCCUCAUCUUGUUGAACUGCAAUGUUCUGCUGGGAAACCUAGGGUCCCGGCAUUCAUGUGGAAGCCACUUGACACGCACCGCCCAUUGUUGUGGACCAAGUACACCCAUUCACAAUGGGGUAGUGAUGGCAGUGCCCCGUCCAAUAGCAUGAUGCACCCUGACAUGCUACAAAAACUUCUCAAUAACACCUUGUGGAACACAACAAAGAGCCCAGAGGUGUUGACCAGGGCCUCAAAAAUUCCCCCGAUCCAAAUCCAAUCGAGCAUCUGUCGGACUUGCUAGAGCUGAAAAAGUCCAAUCAAUGGAGGCCCCACCCUCUAACAAACAGUAGGAUCCACAACAAACACCCCCAUGCUUUGAUGGGUUAGAACUGUUUUGGUUGCGCAAGGGGAACCUGCACAAUAUUAAGCAGGUGCUUUCAAUGCUGUGGCUGAUCAAUGUAUAAGCUAUCUCUAUAUCUAUGGAUUGCAAUAAAGUAGCAUUCUGAAUAAGGUGAAUCUUUUUUCUGCCUGCUGUCUUCACAUUAGCUGCUGAGGCCCGGAGGUACAGUAGUUGUUAGUGUCAGCCACCAUAAAGUAUGGUUAUUUUAGUAUUACACUACUGAAAAUUACUUAAUUCAUGUUUUGACUACAGCUGUUGUUAUUUGCUAUACAAUAAACAAAACAAUGCAAUUAUUUGUGUAGCAAUAUCUGGCUCACUUGCGAACAUUGUGUCAAACAUCACAUUAAUGACAGCUUGCACACACACUGAUGAUCUUCAAAUGUACAACAUGCAAAGGGAUCUCAACCUGGUUUUGUGUACUUAAAUGAAGCAGUGUCCCUCCAUUUUUGGGAACUACUCCAUUCUUCAUCUCAUAUGUUGUUGUUUUUUCCCUCUUUAAUUGGAUUUAAUCUUAAAAUGCCUUUUAUCCCAUUGCCUUUUACUUACAGUACAUUCUUUUUUCAAAUAAUGCAUGUAAGACAGACUCAUUUUAAAUGUUAUUUCACAUUCAUCUGUCCCUGGGUGGGACAGUUUAGUGUACUUUCCACCCCUGCACACUGCAUAAUAUAUAACAUGUCUACUUCCAGGGCCUGACACACUUAAAAAAAAGGGAAAAAAAGAGAGAGAGAAGACAUGUUGAGCUUUCGUCAACUCUCCCUUUCAUGUCCCCACACCUGGCUACAGCUUCUCUCCACCCUGCAUCACCACAUCAAAUAGAGGCUCCCAGGCAAACUCACAUCCACUUUAUCCCCAAGGGCGGCUGACUCAGCCAAAGUGCACAUCUGCCUUGUUGUUUUUACUACGAUUCCCAUCUACCCCUGCCCCCAUCACUCAUCUGUCAUCACCUGACAGUCAAGACACGAGGUGCCAUGACACUAGUUUUUACCGUAAAAGGGUGGAGAGAUACUUAUUCUCUUCUCCAUACCAGAGGGUUGACAUAUAUCGCUAACGGCAGCGGUGGGGAUAUUGAUGUGCUGGCGGGGUCAUGACCCAGGAGAGAAGAUGAGAUGAAAUAUUUCUACCUCAACGCCGCCCAGGGCUGCACAAGAAGUCUCCCAAUGUUACCAAGUGUUAACUGGACACAUUUAAACCAAGCUUGUCUUGACGCUCACAAUCAUUACUUGAUUGACCAUUCACCUAGUUGAUGUUGUUGUCACUUUUUUCUAGCUUUUCCAAAACAAAACUAAAGCUUAUUACCUACUGUAGUAACCAUGUUUUAAUUUGAAAGGCCAAGGAGCACAUCAAUUGAUGCAUUAAUUUGAGGGGUUACAGGUUACUUAAAUGCCCCAUUCAUGACCAGCACAUCUCCUAUGUACCAAUUGAGUGGCUAUUGAACUUAAGCUAACAUUAGCCAAAAUAUUGUCACAUUUGCCGGACAUUCUGUUGAGCCCUGAUCCUAAAAACCUUUCUCCUUGUAAUGUGAAAGGUCAAACUGAAACACAAACUAGUUAGCUGGGCAGUCACAGCUGGGUUUUUGCCCAAAUGAAAACACAGCUUUCACUUUACGCUGCACAAUUCAGGCUGCAAUGGCUGCA
Molecule: long non-coding RNA, 3467 nt
Organism: Acanthopagrus latus (yellowfin seabream)
Lineage: Eukaryota; Metazoa; Chordata; Actinopteri; Spariformes; Sparidae
Exons: 3
Source: RefSeq, a predicted model, not a curated record